Molecule: non-coding RNA, 95 nt
Organism: Meira miltonrushii
Lineage: Eukaryota; Fungi; Basidiomycota; Exobasidiomycetes; Exobasidiales; Brachybasidiaceae
Source: the annotation of a RefSeq genome assembly
GGCAGUUUGGUGUAACGGUUAGCAUCUUUCCUUUACAACUUUCUCAAUCGAUUGUCAAAUCGGAAAAGACGAGGGUUCGAUUCCCUCAACAGCCU